RNAcentral lists this long non-coding RNA (525 nucleotides) under Homo sapiens (human). RNAcentral describes it as "HSALNT0360469". The record is from RNAcentral. Lineage: Eukaryota; Metazoa; Chordata; Mammalia; Primates; Hominidae.
CCAUGAUUGUGAGGCCUCCCCAGCCAUAUGGAACUGUGCCUCACUCUAGUCCUGACCCUGUUACCACCAAAAUAUCCCCACUGAGGAACUUCUAGUGAAUAUAUUUCAAGAAGAAGGGAACUAACCCCAGGAAGAAGACUGAAAGCUUCAUGAGGAUAAACUGAGACUCUUCGCUAUUGAAAUUCUAUUGCCAGGCGCAUCCCCCAGCCCACAGUGAAUGGAAUUGGAUUAUUCUGAAGCACAAUCAGUAUUCCAAGUACAUGGUUUCUGUAAUGGGAUAAUUGGCUGCCCCUGGUCCUAGACAACACCUGAAGGCACUAAUCCCAUUCAUGAAGAUUCCACCCUCAGGAUCUAAGCAUCUCCCGAAGGCCCUGCCUCCUAAUAGCAUCCCCUUGGAGGUGAGGAUUUCAACUUGGGAAUUUUGGGGUGACAUGAACAUUCAGGCUGUAGCAGAACACUUACUUGUGAGUGAGUGAGAGGGACAAGAUGCGGUUAAAGAGGCUGGCAGAGAGCGAACCACAAGAG